Siniperca chuatsi (mandarin fish) is the source of this 729-nucleotide long non-coding RNA. RefSeq lists it as uncharacterized. The transcript has 2 exons. Lineage: Eukaryota; Metazoa; Chordata; Actinopteri; Centrarchiformes; Sinipercidae. The record is from RefSeq and is a predicted model, not a curated record.
GAGGAUCAUCCUGCAUACACAGUGCGGCGGUUGUUGGAUGUUCGCCGGCGAGGUAGGGGGUUCCAGUAUCUGGUGGACUGGGAGGGUUAUGGCCCCGAGGAGCGGUCCUGGGUUCCCCGUUCCCAUAUCCUGGAUCCACAACUUAUUCGGGAGUUCCACCAGGCUCGCCCAGAAGGCUCCGGGAGGGUCGCCAGGAGGCGCCCAUUAGAGGGGGGGUACUGUCAUAGUUAGCCACUAUGCCCCCUGAUCCUUUUGUCCUCUUCUGUAUCUGCCUUCCCCUGUGUUUCCUGGCGGUCCCCUGUCCAUCUUGUUUGUGUGUGUGUGUGUGUGUGUGUGUCUGGGUUCUGGGCUGGUUUCCAGAUCUCCCGGCUGCUAUUGAUUACCGGCACACCUGAUCAUCAUCAUCAUCAUCAACCACCACAGUUAUCUACCGGGCUCAUCCACACUUCCAGCGCCAGAUCGUCUUCGUACCCAACCUCUGUGCUGCCGGUGAUCACUUCCCUGUGCCACGGCCAUCGGACUCUAGUCUCAGUCUCAGCGUGUCUUCACCCGAUCAGCCCAGCCUUCAACCACGCCAGCCAGUCCAGAACCCGCUUCCCUGGUCUCCGCUCAACGCACCACUCUCCAGCCUCCGUCCAGUCCGGUCGAACUCUCCGUGCUACAACGCACUUCGCCAGACACGCCGCGAUCUCCUGAUCUUUCCACACAAUAAAACUGUUCAGACCUUGA